UACGUAGGGGGUGAGCGUUGUCCGGAAUUACUGGGCGUAAAGAGCACGUAGGCGGGAACUUAAGUCAGGUGUGAAAGACCGAGGCUCAACCUCGGGUAUGCACUUGAAACUGGGUUUCUUGAGGGCAGGAGAGGAAAGCAGAAUUCCUGGUGUAGCGGUGAAAUGCGUAGAAAUCAGGAGGAAUACCAGUGGCGAAGGCGGCUUUCUGGACUGACCCUGACGCUGAGGUGCGAAAGCGUGGGUAGCAAACAGGAUUAGAUACCCCUGUAGUCCCUGAG
This 278-nucleotide ribosomal RNA is filed under the name uncultured prokaryote. RNAcentral describes it as "partial 16S ribosomal RNA". It matches the Rfam family "Bacterial small subunit ribosomal RNA", at positions 524 to 801 of the family's 1533-position model. The record is from RNAcentral.